This 433-nucleotide ribosomal RNA is filed under the name uncultured bacterium. RNAcentral's name for it is "partial 16S ribosomal RNA". It matches the Rfam family "Bacterial small subunit ribosomal RNA", at positions 29 to 507 of the family's 1533-position model. The record is from RNAcentral.
AGCGAACGCUGGCGGCAGGCCUAACACAUGCAAGUCUAACGAACUCUUCGGAGUUAGUGGCGGACGGGUGAGUAACACGUGGGAACGUGCCUUUAGGUUCGGAAUAACUCAGGGACACUUGUGCUAAUACCGCAUGUGCCCUUCGGGGGAAAGAUUUAUCGCCUUUAGAGCGGCCCGCGUCUGAUUAGCUAGUUGGUGAGGUAAAGGCUCACCAAGGCGACGAUCAGUAGCUGGUCUGAGAGGAUGAUCAGCCACAUUGGGACUGAGACACGGCCCAAACUCCUACGGGAGGCAGCAGUGGGGAAUCUUGCGCAAUGGGCGAAAGCCUGACGCAGCCAUGCCGCGUGAAUGAUGAAGGUCUUAGGAUUGUAAAAUUCUUUCACCGGGGACGAUAAUGACGGUACCCGGAGAAGAAGCCCCGGCUAACUUCGUG